UGGCAUAUGGAAGUUCCCAGCCAGGGGUCAAAUUAGAGCUGUAGCUGCUGGCCUAUGCCACAGCCAAAGCAACGUGGGAUCUGAGUCUCGUCUGCGACCUACACCACAGUUCACAGCAAUGCCGGAUCCUUAACCCACUGAGUGAGGCCAGGGAUUGAACCCACAUCCUCAUGGAUAUAUAACAAAUGGGAUUUUCCAAGAUGGCUGCAACAAGAUCUCCCAUCCUACAUGCUUUUCUUACAAAGUGACACUGCGGCUUCUCUCAUUGAGAAGUAGGUUCUAUGUUCCUACUCCUUGAAUAUGGGUGGGCAUGUGACUACAGAAGAAGAGAUGCUAUGUAACCCCUGAGAGUAAGUUAUAAAAGGUGAUGCAGCUUCCACGGUGGUCUUAACUGGGAUAUGUGCUCUUGGAACCCAACUGCCAUGCUAUGAGGAAGCCCAGGCCACAGGAAGAGGCCCCAUGUAGGUGUCCCAGUCAACGGCCUCAGGUGAGUUUCCAGCAGACAGCAGGCAGCAAUGGUCAGACAUCUGAGUAAGAAAAUUCCCAGGCAAAAUACUGAACUUUACACCUGGCUUGUUCUUAUGGUCUGUGAUAAAAUGUGAAAGGUAAGAGAUGAGCUAAAGAAAGCCCUGCCAGAUUUAAAGGAGAUAGGACUUUCUGAGUUUGAAGUAAUACUCUUUCUCAUCCACCUCCAGAUGACAAAUGAUUCCAAAAUUAAGAAAUGUCUUCUAAGAGAUCAAAUCUAGGGUAUAAAGUCAUAAAAAGUGUCAGGAAAAAGGGUCUAAAGGAGAACCCAAUGGUGUGAUUAUAAAAUGCUUUGUUGAGACCUUAAAACCAUCUAAGGCAGAUAGAUAAAAGGCUCCUGAGUAUGCCAAGGGCAUUGUCCCACAAGAGUCCCACCAAGAUGGAAAAAGCCUUACAAAUCUGCAAGAGAUUUAUAGAUACAGGCUUUUCUAAUGGAGUAGGUCAUCAAUGAAUACACAAACCCCCACUGUUUUAAAGAAAACUGUUCUGGCAGAAGCACCACCGGGUUGUACCAAAAGGGAUAGAGAUGUUGUAAAAUGAAAAGGUGCUUUUGGACAUCCAGCCUUUUGUGGACCAGAAGUAGGAUGAGAAGGAUGCCUAGCUGCAAACUCACUUCUUUUUUGGGAAAAAAAAUGACUUAGCAGGCAGAACUUAGAGCUUAGAGAGAGGAGCCAAGGACAACAAGGCAGUGGGCGUUGAUGUAUAAAACCUUUAAAAAGUUGCUAAACUUUUUCUCAAUAGAUAGAUAGGUAGAUUGAUAGAACAAUCGAUAGAUAGAUGAAUGAUAGAUUUGGAUCAUUCCAUCUAAAUAACCCAAUCAGCUGAAGUUUAAGGGAAAGCAGACAGUGGGGUUUGUUUUGGAAGAUGAGCCACAAAUAAUGCUGGCCUUGUACUUGUUCUAACAAAAUGUCCUUAAUGAUAAAACAAAGGAUGCUCCUGUGUGGCACUGCGGGUUAAGGAUCCAGCAAUGCUGCAGGUGCAAGCUGCAACUGCCUCUUGGGUUUGAUCCUUGGCUUGGGAAUUUCCACAAGCCGAUAGUGCGCCUUCCCCAUGCUCCCCGCAGAAAAAGACGUAUUUCCUGAAUCUAGUUGACAUCGUAUCUAUCAAAGGAAAGUUAUAAUAUGAAUCUCUUUAAGUUGAUUAAUUUAAGUUGGAAGCUGAGCAACUCUGGAAUAUUUCUUUUUUCCUGGCUCCACUUUUUGGCUAGAGCUAAGCUGAUAAAGAGACAGUGAUAAGAAGGAAGGAAAGGAACUUCAGAAAUGCCAUUACUUCACUUUCCAGAAGCUUCCAAAACAUCAAACCCUGACCUCACACUACCCUUCCUCUCAGAAAAAGUGGGUGGUGAAUCAGGGAGCUUCACUGAGACUCCAGUCCUGGCUGUGCCUCUGCUGUUUGGCUUAAUGUGCUAGAAGUUUCUCAGAAAGUGUUUGGAGAUUUACAUUUUGUUUAGGUUUUAGGGAAGAGGAGGCAGGCAUUAGCAUUUGUUGAGUGACCUAUCUAUCUAUCUAUCUAUCUAUCUAUCUAUCUAUCUAUCUAUCUAUCUAUCUAUCAUCUCUAUAUAUAGGGAGAUGGAGUUUGAAAGUACACUUCAGCUAGUUCCAAAUCCUGCAUUAUAAUUUCUCAAGUUUCAUUUAAAACUUUACAUUUCUGCUGACAUUCUUGUUUCUGUGUUUUUUGUUUUUUUUUUCCCUUCUGAAGCUGGUUUUUAAUGAGACUCUUACUGCUUGUGGGCAUUUAAACUAUGAAUUGUGAGAUUACCAGUGGAAUUGGAGUUGGAGAUACCUCAUCAUAUUUAGAUAGCUGGAGAGCCAGUCAAAUCACACUGUGAACUGUCACCUUUACCGCUGAUAAAUAGCUUUAAUCCCAUUCAAAUAUAUUCCACUUCCAAAGCUAUUCAUAACAUGGUUUGUCCUCCAUCAUCAAUUCUAUUCAUACAGGUUGCUAAAGCUCCCCAAAUUAUUCUCUCUCCUUUCAAUAGAUUAUUAGAAUAUAAUUAGUAAUAUAUCAAAGGUGUACCAGGGUUAACCAGAGUUAACCCUGGUUCCCACCUCCUCUCAAUAGAAACAGAUUAAAAAAUACCUCUACCUUAUAGAGUAUAAAGACAUGGCAAAGUCAUAUACAGGGUCAGUACAAGUCCUGCGAAUUGGAUUCAGAGGAACGAGUCCCCUCGCUGUAAACUGGGUUCAAUCACUUAAAUGGCAGAGCAAGUGAAAGAGAAAUAGCAAUAAGGACGUUUUGAUGUCA
Molecule: long non-coding RNA, 2769 nt
Filed under: Sus scrofa (pig)
Lineage: Eukaryota; Metazoa; Chordata; Mammalia; Artiodactyla; Suidae
Description: lncRNA (ENSSSCG00040033964.1)
Source: RNAcentral